Polistes canadensis is the source of this 837-nucleotide long non-coding RNA. RefSeq lists it as uncharacterized. The transcript is spliced from 3 exons. Lineage: Eukaryota; Metazoa; Arthropoda; Insecta; Hymenoptera; Vespidae. The record is from RefSeq and is a predicted model, not a curated record.
GUCAAUUUAUCCUCAUGGAUCAUCCAUCAAUCAAAUCCGAGUCUACCUAACUACCUACCUACCUAUCAUCACCGAUAUUUCCUGUUUCUAUCAAACACGUUCCUAGAAUCAACACAAUUUGAAAACGCAAAUGACGACAUGUCUAUCAUCGAUAUUACCUAAGCCACCAUCCAAAAAAUAUCCCUGCCUGUCGUCUAAGUUCUCACCACUAGCUCUUAUAUACAACACGAACAAUUCCGCAAACCAGCUGACCGAACAAACGCGCACGUAUCGUUAGAUAACCGCAAAAAGAAGGGGCUACGUGAAAGGACUCUUGCUCGGCUGAUCUCCUGGAAGCACCGUUCGUUUAUCCGCUUGCUGUCGUUUCGCCGUACGGAGGCGAACUCGUUGCCAGGCAGCCCCGAACGAACGGGCUCUCGAGUUCUUUCCAGGUUUAUCCAGCUUUAUCUUCCAAGUACCAAGUUCGUUAUGGUAUAAUCAAGACAUUUGACGACGACGACGAAGAAAAUGAUGAUAAUGAUGAUGAUGAUGAUGAUGGCGUUGAUGAGAAAACAAUGAUGAUUUCUAGCGUUAAGUCAGAGAAGCUGUUCUCUUCUGUCUUUCAACUUUGAAACCGGUACGGUCAAGCGACAUAUGGGAUGAUGAACCGCUUUUUAUUACGUUUCAUGCACCUACAAAAAGUCUACCUAGCUUUAUUUUCAAUGAUCAUUUUAUCUAGUUAAUUACGUGGACGGUGCAGGUACAUAUAUUAUAUAAUACAAUACCUCUCUCUUUACUCGUACGUAAGGAAAAUUUGUUAAAUCUUAUUAUAUUUGAAGAAAUCUUUUCAAGAAUAAA